CUUCAUUCCCAUAAAGGCUUUGCCACCCUCCUGAAGCAAAUGGCCACCAUGGGCCCAACCCAACCUCUUGAGGUUCCCCACUAGCCACCCCAGAGAACUCAGAUCCUUGAAGCCCCACAUCUCUGCAUAUCUCAAUGGCAACAAUCCCCUUCAGUGACAUCAGGCCAUUAAGGAACACAACGGAGCUAUGCCCUGCACGACCAAGCUUGAUCUGACACCAUGGACCUCACAUACACCUCAGCUGCAGGUGCAACAGAAGUGCUUCUAACCUGCAGGAAUGUCAAUGUGGAUGCCAUGUGUGAGUUCGGUGCUACGGACAAGGUGCAAAGUGCAGCAGCUUCAGAGACCCAGGGGACACAACACAACCCACCAAAUGGAUGGCCAAAGCCCCACGAGAGUUGGAUGGUCUCAGCACUGCUUCGUCCAUUCUUCCCUCCUGCUUUCCUUCCCCCCCUUUAUCAACUCCAUCCUAAUCUGACCUCAGUGAAGGGAUCCAAGACCCUCAAACAAGAGGAGACACAGACUGCCUUCAUCUCUCCCCGAACCCAUCCAGCUCAAGUUGCACUCUGACUUCAAGGAAUGGCAACCCAAGGGAUUUGGGGCAGCCCCAUCCCCUCGGUGUAUGUCUGCUGCCCCCAGCUCCCGAUGUGGGGAGCGGGCAGGGUCUGGGCUCCCUACCUGCGAGCUGCAAAGGACAGCAGGGGGCUGGCUGCCCUGUAAGCAAUAUUAAAGCCUCUUCAAAACAUUCAGC
RNAcentral lists this long non-coding RNA (751 nucleotides) under Gallus gallus (chicken). RNAcentral's name for it is "long non-coding RNA NONGGAT008986". Lineage: Eukaryota; Metazoa; Chordata; Aves; Galliformes; Phasianidae. The record is from RNAcentral.